RNAcentral lists this long non-coding RNA (547 nucleotides) under Homo sapiens (human). RNAcentral describes it as "HSALNT0135532". Lineage: Eukaryota; Metazoa; Chordata; Mammalia; Primates; Hominidae. The record is from RNAcentral.
AAAAUUAUACCACAGUUUGGGGAACCUCUGCUCUGAAUGGGCAGGGAGUAUCUCCACAGCUCUUUGGAACACAAAAUAAAAUGACUCUUCUGGAGUUCCAAUCAGAGCCAAAUUAUAGAAUGAAAACAGCAAUUUGGAGAAUUCCCUUGCAUGUCCUUAUCCUGUUUGCUCUCCUGGGUGUGUGUAUGUGCAUGCAUGGUGUGAGCUAUAAUGUGGGUUUGUAGUCAGUUCACACAGGAAUCAUUGUGGCUGUGCUCUUCCUGCUUCAAACAUGGGCACCACCAAAAAUACAGAAAGGAUAGGUCAGGCCCACCCUAGGGCAUCUCAGGAAGCAUCAUUUUGUGUGUACCAUGGCACAGUUAAAUAUACGAAUAUAUACUGGACAUUUAAUUCUUAAAACAAACCUUUAGUUUCUCUUUAUAUGAAAACUAAAAUUUAUAGAGGUCAAGUAAAUUGCCCAAGACUGGGCGCAGUGGCUCAUGCCUGUAAUCCCAGCACUUUGGGAGACCAAGGCAGGCGGAUCAUCUGAGGUCAGGAGUUCGAGGCC